RNAcentral lists this ribosomal RNA (537 nucleotides) under Triticum aestivum (bread wheat). RNAcentral's name for it is "partial small subunit ribosomal RNA". Lineage: Eukaryota; Viridiplantae; Streptophyta; Magnoliopsida; Poales; Poaceae. The record is from RNAcentral.
AUGCUGACUAAAACAGUACGCAGUAGACCAUCAUCAAAGACCAACGAGAUGCAAGAAAUAGGGGAGAGCACCAACAUUCAAGGCAAACAAACACAACAACAUAGGGGAAUGGAACAAGCAGAAGAUGUUCUUCCAACAACAGACAGCCUAACCGCCGUAGACCAAGCCGGAAAACCUUCGUUGUCCGGGCAAGAAAUAACAGAGAUGGCAACGUCGACGCAAAACAUCGAAAAGCCACAAGACAAAAACGACGACACCACGGAGGUCCAAAAAGCUCAACUCACCAAAGAAAAGGUCGAAGAGGCAGCACCGGCGGAAACGACUGAAAAGAAACCUCAACAGGACACGCACGCAGACACAAGUAAAGAAGCAAAUGGCCACAGUGCAUUGGAAAACCAUGCGUCAAACAUUCCAGUGAAAGAGUCAGAUAGCAACGAGAAAAAGGCCACACCAUCAGACAAGAAAACAUUGUGCUGUAAAAGAUGUUGCCGCCACAAACACGGCGGUAACCCAGGGCAGCAUUCAAACAAAACGUGA